CCUACGGGUGGCAGCAGUGGGGAAUAUUGGGCAAUGGGCGCAAGCCUGACCCAGCAACGCCGCGUGAAGGAAGAAGGCUUUCGGGUUGUAAACUUCUUUUCUCAGGGACGAAGCAAGUGACGGUACCUGAGGAAUAAGCCACGGCUAACUACGUGCCAGCAGCCGCGGUAAUACGUAGGUGGCAAGCGUUAUCCGGAUUUACUGGGUGUAAAGGGCGUGUAGGCGGGGACGCAAGUCAGAUGUGAAAACCACGGGCUCAACCUGUGGCCUGCAUUUGAAACUGGCAGACUUGAGUUGGCGAGAAGUACGCGGAAUGCGCGGUGUAGCGGUGAAAUGCAUAGAUAUCGCGCAGAACUCCGAUUGCGAAGGCAGCGUACCGGCGCCAGACUGACGCUGAGGCACGAAAGCGUGGGGAUCGAACAGGAUUAGAUACCCCUGUAGUC
This 443-nucleotide ribosomal RNA is filed under the name uncultured bacterium. RNAcentral describes it as "partial 16S ribosomal RNA". It matches the Rfam family "Bacterial small subunit ribosomal RNA", at positions 338 to 795 of the family's 1533-position model. The record is from RNAcentral.